Dalotia coriaria is the source of this 1578-nucleotide long non-coding RNA. RefSeq lists it as uncharacterized. The record is from RefSeq and is a predicted model, not a curated record. Lineage: Eukaryota; Metazoa; Arthropoda; Insecta; Coleoptera; Staphylinidae. The transcript has 4 exons.
GCGCAGUUUCGGCAUAUUGAUGGAUUGCAGCUAGUUUUGUGCCGGUCUCGGGCGUAUCCAGACGUAUAUCGCGCAACGCGUUUCGUUUUAUCAUAGUUGUAUUUUCAAAGUUAGCAUUAUAUUCGAUCAUCAAUCGACUUAGUCGUAAUAUGCGUCUGCAGUGUUUUCUUAAUAAGUAAUUGUGCGUUUAAUGUGCAUAAAUGUUUUAUAUGCUUGCUUUUGAUGUUUAUAUUUCAAAUCAAAUAUUUCGGUUAUUGUGGGACGUGGUCGGUCGCUACAUCAAUCGGAAACCUAUCCGUGCUUGAUAUUUGCCGUGCCUUGGAGUCCGACGUGUUCUGCAUUGUACUUGCUGUACCCUUACAAUCUGAUGAGCGCUGCAUUGUACUUUCUUUGAUUAUCCGACACACUGGUAAGUUUGUAAACUUUAUUAAAUCAUAAUUAAUUACAUUUUAGUUUUAAAUCACAUGUAACGUGAGUACCGUAAUAACUCAAAAUUGACGCGUGCCGUCGGAUGCGUCAUCGGUUUCGCUGCAGACUUUGCUUUUUCGAUGUCAAUCAUCGAUUUAAUAGCGUGAACUUCCUUUGCUCGUAUUUUCUUUUGAUGUCAUAAUCCUCCAAUCGCGGAGACGUGUUUUAAUAGACAAUUUAAAUUUCUUCCCGCGUGUGUACAUGACUUGCCGUCGGCCGACACAUUUUGCCUUGCUUGUGGCGUAUUUGGAUAACACGUCGCAAAGAAAAUUUUAGGAUCGCAAUAAAAUUCAUAUUGAUGUUUUAUUUAUCUAUCACUCUACCUUUCCUACCUUUCCUGUUUUUAAAUUUACAUUUUUUAAAUUUAAAUUUUCAUUGAUUUUUCUUCUAGCUCCCAAUUCUUAAUUCAAAAUGUAGUUGUAGUUUUGUUCAGUCACCUUCUCGUGAAUCUAAUUCUCGGCAUCGAGAAUGUUAAAUUUUCUAAUUAAAUGUAGCUAUUUUCUUCUUAUAUCACCCUAUGUAUUAUUUUUCCUUGCUCUCUAAUGUAAAACUGACUAAAUUUAUCGUUUCCGGGUCGUUUUCUACUUAAAAUUUGUAUUUUAUUUUUAAAUUAAGGAAUUUGCUAUUUGUAACACCCUGUAUGUUUGUUUUUCUUGAUUUCCCAUUACAAGUUUUCUAAAUUUGUUAUUCCCGAGUGUUUUCUUUCAUUAACUUUUGAUUUUCUUUUUGUAGCACCCUGUAUAUUCAUUUUCUUUGUUGUCCGUGAAAAUUUAGCUUUAACUGUUGAUUUUAGGUUUUUCUUCUUUGCACUUUGAAUUUUCUAUUAGAAACACCCUGUAUAUUAAUUUUCCUGAUUGUCGAUGAAAACGAGCGACGUUUGACUGUAAACACUAGUUUAGAGUUUUUUCUUUUCACUUUAAAUUUUCUUUCUGUAACACCCUGUAUAUUUGUUUCCAUUUUCAAUCACCGGUAGUACUUUGCGAAGUGCUACUUACUUGCAUGUGCGCGACGAUGCAGGUCGUAAGUCUUGUUUCAAUAUGGCGGCAUGUAUUUUGUUGACUUGUAAAAUCAAAACUUGUAUUCUAUUCUUAAUAAAUAAAUAGUAAGAUA